This 71-nucleotide transfer RNA is filed under the name Caldicellulosiruptor bescii. RNAcentral's name for it is "tRNA-Gly". It matches the Rfam family "tRNA". From Rfam's summary of the family: Transfer RNA (tRNA) molecules are approximately 80 nucleotides in length. Lineage: Bacteria; Bacillati; Bacillota; Caldicellulosiruptorales; Caldicellulosiruptoraceae. The record is from RNAcentral. RNAcentral also lists the same sequence under 1 other name.
GCGGGUGUAGUUCAAUGGUAGAACACCAGCCUUCCAAGCUGGCAGCGUGGGUUCGAUUCCCAUCACCCGCU